RNAcentral lists this small RNA (131 nucleotides) under Salmonella enterica. RNAcentral describes it as "RtT sRNA". It matches the Rfam family "RtT RNA". From Rfam's summary of the family: This family represents a bacterial cis-regulatory element known as RtT RNA. The exact function of RtT is unknown although it is thought that it may be involved in changing the cellular response in relation to amino acid starvation. Lineage: Bacteria; Pseudomonadati; Pseudomonadota; Gammaproteobacteria; Enterobacterales; Enterobacteriaceae. The record is from RNAcentral.
AUAUCUCUCUGUACGGGAAGGAUGAGAAGCUUCGACUAAGGUUCGAUUCGAGCGCAGCGAGAAAGCGUUGCCGCAGGCAACGACCCGAAGGGCGAAGCGCGCAGCGCUGAAUCAUCCUUCCCCCACCACCA